This 73-nucleotide transfer RNA is filed under the name Candidatus Pacearchaeota archaeon. Its description in RNAcentral is "tRNA-Glu". It matches the Rfam family "tRNA". From Rfam's summary of the family: Transfer RNA (tRNA) molecules are approximately 80 nucleotides in length. Their secondary structure includes four short double-helical elements and three loops (D, anti-codon, and T loops). Lineage: Archaea; Nanobdellati. The record is from RNAcentral.
GCUCCCGUAGUAUAGCGGUCAAGUAUUCGGGCCUCUCGCGCCUGAGACACGGGUUCGAGUCCCGUCGGGAGCA